This 464-nucleotide ribosomal RNA is filed under the name uncultured bacterium. RNAcentral's name for it is "bacterial SSU rRNA". It matches the Rfam family "Bacterial small subunit ribosomal RNA", at positions 330 to 792 of the family's 1533-position model. The record is from RNAcentral.
ACCAGACUCCUACGGGAGGCAGCAGUGAGGAAUAUUGGUCAAUGGCCGGAAGGCUGAACCAGCCAAGCCGCGUGAAGGACGAAGGUGCCAAGCAUUGUAAACUUCUUUUGUCAAGGGACAAAAUCAGGCUCGAGAGCCUGACCGAGGGUACUUGAAGAAAAAGCAUCGGCUAACUCCGUGCCAGCAGCCGCGGUAAUACGGAGGAUGCGAGCGUUAUCCGGAUUUAUUGGGUUUAAAGGGUGCGUAGGCGGGCUGUUAAGUCAGCGGUAAAAUGUGGGGGCUCAACCCCGGCCUGCCGUUGAAACUGGCGGCCUCGAGUGGGCGAGAAGUAUGCGGAAUGCGUGGUGUAGCGGUGAAAUGCAUAGAUAUCACGCAGAACUCCGAUUGCGAAGGCAGCAUACCGGCGCUCAACUGACGCUCAUGCACGAAAGUGUGGGUAUCGAACAGGAUUAGAUACCCCGGUA